RNAcentral lists this ribosomal RNA (253 nucleotides) under uncultured bacterium. Its description in RNAcentral is "partial 16S ribosomal RNA". It matches the Rfam family "Bacterial small subunit ribosomal RNA", at positions 524 to 776 of the family's 1533-position model. The record is from RNAcentral.
UACGUAGGGGGCAAGCGUUGUCCGGAAUCAUUGGGCGUAAAGCGCGUGUAGGCGGCUCGGUAAGUCUGCUGUGAAAGUCCAGGGCUCAACCCUGGGAUGCCGGUGGAUACUGUCGAGCUCGAGUCCGGAAGAGGCGAGUGGAAUUCCUGGUGUAGCGGUGAAAUGCGCAGAUAUCAGGAGGAACACCAAUGGCGAAGGCAGCUCUCUGGGACGGUACUGACGCUGAGACGCGAAAGCGUGGGGAGCGAACAGG